CCUACGGGAGGCAGCAGUGAGGAAUAUUGGACAAUGGGCGCAAGCCUGAUCCAGCCAUGCCGCGUGCAGGAAGAAGCAUCUAUGGUGUGUAAACUGCUUUUGUACAGGAAGAAACACUCCCUCGUGAGGGAGCUUGACGGUACUGUAAGAAUAAGGACCGGCUAACUCCGUGCCAGCAGCCGCGGUAAUACGGAGGGUCCGAGCGUUAUCCGGAAUCAUUGGGUUUAAAGGGUCCGUAGGCGGUUUAAUAAGUCAGUGGUGAAAUCUGGUCGCUCAACGAUCAAACGGCCAUUGAUACUGUUAGACUUGAAUUAUAAGGAAGUAACUAGAAUAUGUAGUGUAGCGGUGAAAUGCUUAGAUAUUACAUGGAAUACCAAUUGCGAAGGCAGGUUACUACUUAUGGAUUGACGCUGAUGGACGAAAGCGUGGGGAGCGAACAGGAUUAGAUACCCUGGUAGUCCACGCCGUAAACGAUGGAUACUAGCUGUUCGGAGCAAUCUGAGUGNGUAGACGAAGUAGAUAAGUAUACCACCGUCGGGAGGUACGUUCGUCGAGAAGUAGAACGUACGAAGAAGUAGUAGUACGUAGAGAGAGCGACGACGGACGACGACGGAGGGAGGAGG
This 623-nucleotide ribosomal RNA is filed under the name uncultured bacterium. Its description in RNAcentral is "bacterial SSU rRNA". The stretch from base 1 to 533 matches the Rfam family "Bacterial small subunit ribosomal RNA", at positions 338 to 873 of the family's 1533-position model. The record is from RNAcentral.